RNAcentral lists this ribosomal RNA (254 nucleotides) under uncultured bacterium. RNAcentral describes it as "partial 16S ribosomal RNA". It matches the Rfam family "Bacterial small subunit ribosomal RNA", at positions 16 to 263 of the family's 1533-position model. The record is from RNAcentral.
GUCCUGGCUCAGGAUGAACGCUGGCGGCGUGCUUAACACAUGCAAGUCGAACGGACUUUAUAUGAAGCCUAGCGAUUAUAAAGUUAGUGGCGGACGGGUGAGUAACGCGUGAAUAACCUGCCCUGUACCGGGGGACAACAGUUGGAAACGGCUGCUAAUACCGCAUAAGCGCACGGUUCCGCAUGGAACAGUGUGAAAAACUCCGGUGGUACAGGAUGGAUUCGCGUCUGAUUAGCCAGUUGGUGGGGUAACGG